This 150-nucleotide ribosomal RNA is filed under the name Triticum aestivum (bread wheat). Its description in RNAcentral is "partial small subunit ribosomal RNA". The record is from RNAcentral. Lineage: Eukaryota; Viridiplantae; Streptophyta; Magnoliopsida; Poales; Poaceae.
AUGGGGAAGAUGUGCUGCAGCCAGGAGGAGGACGAGGCGGGGUUCAACCUGCUGCCGCUGGUGAUGGCCGCCUUCGUCAUCAUGCUGCUGUUCGUCGUCUGCUCGCCGCAGCCCCGGCGCAGGCGCUGCGUCGUCGUCCCGUGCUACUGA